AAAUCAUUAACUAUUGUAAGGAAAUAUCUACAACCAGAAGAAGUAGAAGUGUGAUAAGGUCCCCAAGUAUCCACAUGGAUCAAUUGAAAAGGCCUAGAGGUACUUAUAGUGCUAUCAGAAAAGGGGAGUCUAGUCUGUUUAGCCAUAGGACAGACAGAGCAAGGGAAAGGUUGUUUAGAAGCAAAUGGAAAAGACAAACCAGAAAUAUGUCUCAUAUUUGCAAAUGAAUAACUUCUAACAGUUUGAACCACAGCUUUAAAUUGGGUUUUAACCAAACAUAGGAAUGAUUUAAGCAGGGAGAAAGCAUUGCUUUUAGACCCCAUUAAGUGUGUCCAGGUUGCCCUAGAGAAAUCAUUAACUAUUGUAAGGAAAUAUCUACAACCAGAAGAAGUAGAAGUGUGAUAAGGUCCCCAAGUAUCCACAUGGAUCAAUUGAAAAGGCCUAGAAGUGCUUAUGCUGCUAUCAGGAAAGGGGAGUCUAGUUUGCUUGGCCAUAGGACAGACAGAACAAGAAAAAGGUUGUUUAGAAGCAAGUGGAAAAGACAAACCAGAAAUAUGUCUCAUAUUUGCAAAU
Molecule: long non-coding RNA, 573 nt
Filed under: Nicotiana benthamiana
Lineage: Eukaryota; Viridiplantae; Streptophyta; Magnoliopsida; Solanales; Solanaceae
Description: long non-coding RNA (NBEN_LNC031006)
Source: RNAcentral